UACGUAGGUCCCGAGCGUUGUCCGGAUUUAUUGGGCGUAAAGCGAGCGCAGGUGGUUUAUUAAGUCUGGUGUAAAAGGCAGUGGCUCAACCAUUGUAUGCAUUGGAAACUGGUAGACUUGGGUGCAGGAGAGGAGAGUGGAAUUCCAUGUGUAGCGGUGAAAUGCGUAGAUAUAUGGAGGAACACCGGUGGCGAAAGCGGCUCUCUGGCCUGUAACUGACACUGAGGCUCGAAAGCGUGGGGAGCAUACAGG
This 252-nucleotide ribosomal RNA is filed under the name uncultured bacterium. RNAcentral describes it as "partial 16S ribosomal RNA". It matches the Rfam family "Bacterial small subunit ribosomal RNA", at positions 524 to 776 of the family's 1533-position model. The record is from RNAcentral.